CAAUGACGUGUAGCGACUAGAGCCCAACUAUCUUUUUUUUGCCAAUUGUUUUUGCCUUUCUCCGGGUCAAAAGCUUUCGUCUUCCGAUCAGGAAGAGAUGGGCGGGGUCUCGUCCUGACGGGAGGCCGCGGUCGAUCGGUCGGUCGCCGACGCCUUCCCGCCCCUCAACACUGCCCCGCCGUUACCCUCCCAUCGGCCACACUCCUCACAACAUCUCAUCAUUUGUUCGCGCUGCUCUCCCCACGUGCGCCCGCCACCACGGGGGC
Molecule: non-coding RNA, 266 nt
Organism: Caenorhabditis elegans
Lineage: Eukaryota; Metazoa; Nematoda; Chromadorea; Rhabditida; Rhabditidae
Source: Ensembl